CCUACGGGUGGCAGCAGUGAGGAAUAUUGCACAAUGGGGGAAACCCUGAUGCAGCGACGCCGCGUGAGUGAAGAAGUAUUUCGGUAUUUAAAGCUCUAUCUGCAUGGAAGAAAAUGACGGUACCUGAGUAUGAAUCCCCGUCUAACUACGUGCCAGCAGCCCCGGUAAUACGUAGGGAGCCAGCGUUAUCCGGAUUUACUGGGUGUAAUGGGAGCGUAUUCGGGUGCACAAGUCUGGAGUGAAAUGCCGGGGCGUAACCCCGGAACUGCGUGGGCAACUGGGCAGCUAGAGUGCAGGAGAGGUAAGCGGAAUUCCUAGUGUAGCGGUGAAAUGCUUAGAUAUUAGGAGGAACACCGGUGGCGAAGGCGGCUUACGGGACUGUAACUGACGUUGAGGCUCGAAAGCGUGGGGAGCAAACAGGAUUAGAGACCCGGGUAGUC
Molecule: ribosomal RNA, 440 nt
Filed under: uncultured bacterium
Lineage: Bacteria
Description: partial 16S ribosomal RNA
Rfam family: Bacterial small subunit ribosomal RNA
Source: RNAcentral